CUCUCGCCCCGUCGCGUUUAUCGAGGAGACAGGUGAAAACUGAGGUUUAGAGAGGGUAAAUAACUUGCCCAAAAUCUGGAAAAGUUUGCCAACCCCUGGUCUUACUCCUCAUUAAGACUGUUUUGCAGGCCUAAGACUUAUGCAGAGGUGGCGCCCGCCCGUAAUCCCAGCACUUCGGGAGGCCGAGACGGGCGGAUCGCUUGAGACCAGCCAGGAUAACAUGGCGAAACCACAUCUCUACAACAAAUACAAAAAUUAGCUGGGCGCGGUGGCACACGACUGUGGUUCCAGUUACUCGGCAGGCGGAGGUGGAAGGAUCCCUUGAGCCUCUGGAGGUGGAGGUUGCAGUGAGCUGUGAUUGCGCCACUGCACUCCAGCCUGGGCGACAGAGUGAGACCCUGUCAGAAAACAAAACAAAACAAAAGAAUUCUGUAAGAACUUCUAACAGGUACAUUCCUGUAAGCAUUACCCACCACUGGACUAGGCACUGGGUAGCCUGUAAAAUACAGUAAGAGCCGUCUCUGCACCCAGAAAAUUUACCAUCAUUUUGUGCUGGAAAGACAUGCCCUAGAAAACAAUAAACAGCACGACUGUACAUGAUUCCAUGCCAAAUGACUGCUAGGAAUUAUUUUAUUAAUCCAUUCAACAAAUACUUAUUGAGUAACCACUAUUAGCCAGCCACCGUUUUCCGUGUGAGGACAUAAAAAUGAGUGAGACAAGGUCUCUGCCAUCAAAAAACGAACAGAUCAGUGAGGAAAGACGGAUGUGUCAAGAAAGGCUUUGCAGGUCGAGCGCGGUGAAUCACGCUUGUAAUCCCAGCACACUGGGAGGCAGAGGCAGGCGGAUCAUUUGAGGUCAGGCGCUCGAGACCACCCUGGCCAACAUGGCGAAACUCCAUCUCUACUAAAAAUACAAAAAUUAUCCGGGCAUGGUGGUGCAGGCUUGUAAUCUCAGCUACUCAGGAGGCUGAGGCAGGAGAAUCAUUUGAACCCAGGAGGCAGAGGUUGCAGUGAGCCAUGAUCAUGCCACUGCACUCCAGCCUGGGUGAGCGAGACUCCAUCUCAAAAAAAAAAAAAAAAAAAAAAAAGAGGGAGAGAAAGACUUUACAGAGCUGGUAACACUUAUCCUGGCCUGGAAAGAAAGAAAGAAAGCUUCCUAUGACGCCCUCUGGAUAAAACUUA
RNAcentral lists this long non-coding RNA (1181 nucleotides) under Homo sapiens (human). RNAcentral's name for it is "non-protein coding lnc-SHF-3:11". The record is from RNAcentral. Lineage: Eukaryota; Metazoa; Chordata; Mammalia; Primates; Hominidae.